This 774-nucleotide ribosomal RNA is filed under the name uncultured Neocallimastigales. Its description in RNAcentral is "partial large subunit ribosomal RNA". It matches the Rfam family "Eukaryotic large subunit ribosomal RNA", at positions 23 to 647 of the family's 3401-position model. Lineage: Eukaryota; Fungi; Neocallimastigomycota; Neocallimastigomycetes; Neocallimastigales. The record is from RNAcentral.
ACACGCAUGACACACUGCAUAUCAAUAAGCGGAGGAAAAGAAACUAACAAGGAUUCCCUUAGUAACGGCGAGUGAAGCGGGAAGAGCUCAAAUUUGAAAUCUUCAAGGUUCUACCUUGACGAAUUGUAGUUCAUAGAAGUGUUUUCUGUUAGUGGAGUGGCAAAAGUUCUUUGGAAUAGGACAUCAUAGAGGGUGAGAAUCCCGUAUUUGGUCAUUCCUCCUAGCGUUGUGAUACACUUUCAACGAGUCGGAUUGUUUGGGAAUGCAGUCCAAAAUGGGUGGUAAAUUUCAUCUAAAGCUAAAUAUUGGCGAGAGACCGAUAGCGAACAAGUACCGUGAGGGAAAGAUGAAAAGAACUUUGAAAAGAGAGUUAAACAGUACGUGAAAUUGUCAAAAGGGAAGCGUUUGACACCAGUGCUGUUUUUCCGAAAAUCAAUUACGAAUGUUUUGUUUUUAAGAAGUUAUGACUUCAUCGGCUUGCUUCUUUCUUUACGAAACUUUCUUAAUGCACUUUUCGGUUAACAAGUCAACAUCAAUUUCUUUUGUUGUAAAAGGGUAUGAGGAAGGUGGCUUUCUUUUCGGAGAAAGUGUUUAUAGCCUUGUAGCCUCUGCAAUCGGAGAGAUUGAGGUCUGCAGCGUAGAUCCUUCGGGGUUAGAUACAUUUGUGCUAAGUUAUAGCUUUUCAUAGACAACUUGUUGACUAUGUUAGUCUUGUAGCUUACUCGCUGAUGCUAUUUUACCUACGCUUAGGAUGUUGACGAGACUGUCGAUCUC